UACGGGGGGGGCAAGCGUUGUUCGGAAUUACUGGGCGUAAAGGGCUCGUAGGUGGCCAACUAAGUCAGACGUGAAAUCCCUCAGCUUAACUGGGGAACUGCGUCUGAUACUGGAUGGCUUGAGUUUGGGAGAGGGAUGCGGAAUUCCAGGUGUAGCGGUGAAAUGCGUAGAUAUCUGGAGGAACACCGGUGGCGAAGGCGGCAUCCUGGACCAACACUGACACUGAGGAGCGAAAGCGUGGGGAGCGAGCCGG
Molecule: ribosomal RNA, 253 nt
Filed under: uncultured bacterium
Lineage: Bacteria
Description: partial 16S ribosomal RNA
Rfam family: Bacterial small subunit ribosomal RNA
Source: RNAcentral